AAUCCAGAGGCCACCACCCUUCCCAACAAUCCAGUAACAACCCAGAGAUCACCACCCUUCCCAACAAUCCAGUAACAACCCAGAGGUCACCACCCUUCCCAACAAUCCAGUAACAAUCCAGAGGUCACCACCCCUUCCCAACAAUCCAGUAACAAUCCAGAGGUCACCACCCUUCCCAACAAUCCAGUAACAAUCCAGAGGUCACCACCCUUCCCAACAAUCCAGUAACAAUCCAGAGGUCACCACCCUUCCCAACAAUCCACUAACAAUCCAGAGGCCACCACCCUUCCCAACAAUCCACUAACAAUCCAGAGGUCACCACCCCUUCCCAACAAUCCAGUAACAAUCCAGAGGUCACCACCCUUCCCAACAAUCCAGUAACAACCCAGAGGUCACCACCCCUUCCCAACAAUCCAGUAACAAUCCAGAGGUCACCACCCUUCCCAACAAUCCAGUAACAAUCCAGAGGCCACCACCCUUCCCAACAAUCCAGUAACAAUCCAGAGGCCACCACCCUUCCCAACAAUCCGGCAAUGACCCAGAGGUCACCACCCUUCC
This 558-nucleotide long non-coding RNA is filed under the name Pan troglodytes (chimpanzee). RNAcentral's name for it is "long non-coding RNA NONPTRT000020". The record is from RNAcentral. Lineage: Eukaryota; Metazoa; Chordata; Mammalia; Primates; Hominidae.